Molecule: non-coding RNA, 138 nt
Organism: Mesocricetus auratus (golden hamster)
Lineage: Eukaryota; Metazoa; Chordata; Mammalia; Rodentia; Cricetidae
Source: Rfam
AGCUUUGUGCAGUUGCAGUAUCAUAGCCAAUGAGUUUUAUCCGAGGUGCGAUAAUUGCUAGUUGAAAACUUUUCACAAGAAAUACGGUUAGCCCCAAAAAUGGUCUAUCUAAUGAUUCAAUAUCCUUGAUUGUUAGGC